Molecule: unclassified non-coding RNA, 387 nt
Filed under: uncultured fungus
Lineage: Eukaryota; Fungi
Description: sequence contains ITS1
Rfam family: 5.8S ribosomal RNA (bases 1-105)
Source: RNAcentral
CAGCUGCGAGAUUUGGUGUGAAUUGCAGGACACAUUGAGCACUGAUUUUUCGAACGCACAUUGCGGCCUCGGGUCCUGCCCGGGGCCUCGCCUGUCUGAGGGUCGGAUAAGACUUGCAAAGGAAUGUUUCGUUCCAAUUGGCCGCGUCGGAGUCCGUCAGGGCUUCGUCGGCUCAAGUUCCAAUAGGAUCCUCCCCGGUCGAGAGAGCACAAGCCCUAGAGCAUGCUCGUCGAUAGGAGAAGACGGAUAACGUUUCUCCAAGAAGACGAGACGGUUUGAUGCCGAGAAGACCUCAAUGUGGGGAAGAGAACCUACAUGAACAUAAAAGUUCAUACAUAAAUUAACUUUGACGACCUCAGAUCAGACGAGAUGACCCGCUGAAUUUAA